AUAUAAUUUGUUAUUAUUUUUUUUUGUUAUUUUUUUUUAUUUAAGGAAUAAUUUAAUUUUAUUAUUUGUUAAGAAAAAAUUUUUUUUAUUAUAGUUGAAUAGUACUGUGAAGGAAUCAAUUUAAUUUUAUAGAAGAAAAUUAGUUUUGUACCUUGUGUAUCAGGGUUGAUCAAAAUUUAUUAAAAAUUUAAUUUUCUCGAAUUUAGAAGGGCUAUCUUAUUAUUUUUUUAUUGUUGAAUAAAUAUUGAAAAUUUUAAGAUUGCAAUGAAAUGUUAUUCGUUUCUAAUUAUAUCUGGUUAUUUAAGAAAAAAAUUUAAUUUUUUUGUUAAUAAUAAAAUAUUUUUGUUGGGAAUUUUUUUGUUUUAGCAUGAAAUAUCUUAUGGGAUGAGCUUUAAGAUAAAUUUUUAUAAGAUUGAUUUUUAUUCUUGUAUUAUAGGAUUAGAAGUUUUUAUUUUUAGAAUGAUGUUAUAAUUUUUCUGGAUUUGGUUUUGAUUUUUAUUUCUUUAAAUUAUUUAUUAAAUAAAAAUUUUGAAUUUUAAAUAUUUUUUUAUUAUGAUUAAAUUAGUAUAGGAUGUUUAUAAAUUGUUAGGUUAAGAAAAGGAAUUCGGCAAUUUUAUUUUUCACCUGUUUAUUAAAAACAUGGCCUUUUGAGAAGAAUUUUAGGUCUGGCCUGCCCACUGAUUUUUAAAGGGCCGCGGUAUUUUGACCGUGCAAAGGUAGCAUAAUCAUUAGUUUUUUAAUUGAAAGCUGGAAUGAAGGGUCGGAUGAGGGAAUAGCUGUCUCUUUUUAAAUUUUUUAAAAUUUUAUUUUUGAGUUAAAAUGCUUAAAUGUUAUUUAAAGACGAGAAGACCCUAUAGAGUUUUAUUUUUUAAUUUUUAUUUUAAGCUAGUAAUUUACUGGGGUAAAUUUUAAAAAAUUUAGUUGGGGUGAUUGAAAAAUUUGAUAAACUUUUUUUUAUAAAAAACACUUAUUUGUGAAUUUUUGAUCCAUUAUUUUUGAUUAUAAGAUUAAAUUACCUUAGGGAUAACAGCGUUAUUUUUCUUGAGAGUUCUAAUCGAAAGAGAAGUUUGCGACCUCGAUGUUGGAUUAAAAUAAAAUUUUGGUGUAGAAGCUGAAAGGUUAGGUCUGUUCGACCUUUAAAAUUUUACAUGAUCUGAGUUUAAACCGGUGUGAGCCAGGUUGGUUUCUAUCUUGAAUUUACAUAAUGUUUCAGUACGAGAGGACCAAGCAUUGAAUAAAUUAUUUAUUUUUGAAUAUAAAU
This 1261-nucleotide ribosomal RNA is filed under the name Nortia carinicollis. Its description in RNAcentral is "16S ribosomal RNA". The stretch from base 1023 to 1181 matches the Rfam family "Archaeal large subunit ribosomal RNA", at positions 2542 to 2701 of the family's 2987-position model. The record is from RNAcentral. Lineage: Eukaryota; Metazoa; Arthropoda; Insecta; Coleoptera; Cerambycidae.